RNAcentral lists this ribosomal RNA (589 nucleotides) under uncultured bacterium. Its description in RNAcentral is "bacterial SSU rRNA". It matches the Rfam family "Bacterial small subunit ribosomal RNA", at positions 337 to 916 of the family's 1533-position model. The record is from RNAcentral.
UCCUACGGGAGGCAGCAGUAGCGAAUCUUCCGCAAUGGACGAAAGUCUGACGGAGCAACGCCGCGUGAGUGAUGAAGGCUUUCGGGUCGUAAAACUCUGUUGUUAGGAAAGAACAAGUGCUAGUUGAAUAAGCUGGCACCUUGACGGUACCUAACCAGAAAGCCACGGCUAACUACGUGCCAGCAGCCGCGGUAAUACGUAGGUGGCAAGCGUUAUCCGGAAUUAUUGGGCGUAAAGCGCGCGCAGGUGGUUUCUUAAGUCUGAUGUGAAAGCCCACGGCUCAACCGUGGAGGGUCAUUGGAAACUGGGAGACUUGAGUGCAGAAGAGGAAAGUGGAAUUCCAUGUGUAGCGGUGAAAUGCGUAGAGAUAUGGAGGAACACCAGUGGCGAAGGCGACUUUCUGGUCUGUAACUGACACUGAGGCGCGAAAGCGUGGGGAGCAAACAGGAUUAGAUACCCUGGUAGUCCACGCCGUAAACGACGAGUGCUAAGUGUUAGAGGGUUUCCGCCCUUUAGUGCUGAAGUUAACGCAUUAAGCACUUCGCCUGGGGAGUACGGCCGCAAGGCUGAAACUCAAAUGAAUUGACGG